AAAAGAUUUUAAGCAGCUGCAUGACUUUGUUCUUUCCGUCCUCCGAGGGGUUUGUUUUUGUUUAAGUAUGUAAACCUAUCAAAGGAAAUAAAUAAGCUUUAUGUGCAGCCCAGUUGUAUUAGCUCAUUAGAGACAGGAAUUCAGCAAAUGGGAAGUAAACACACCGGCUGCCUGGGGCCCCGGAUGCCACAGUGGCUCCAAGGGGCUAUUUUCACCAGGGAGGUGGGAUCAAUGGCUCAUCCUUAGGGGCUUAUUAAUUUCUUCACAAUGAAACAUUUUCUCCCUAUUCACUGCUGGGAUUAGGAACAGAGGGAAGCAUGCUUACAGGCCAUAAAGACCCCUCGAAACUCUGGUGUAAAUAAGAACUUGCUUUUAGGGGGCAGCCGGUGGCUCAGCAGUUAAGUGCGAACUUCCGCUUUGGCGGCCUGGGGUUCGCUGGUUUGGAUCCCCGGUGCAGACAUGGCACCACUUGGCAGGCCAUGCUGUGGUAGGCAUCCCACAUAUAAAGUAGAGGAAGAUGGGCACGGACGUUAGCUCAGGGCCAGUCUUCCUCAGCAAAAAGAGGAGGAUUGGUGGCAGAUGUUAGCUAAGGGCUAAUCUUCCUCAAAAAAGAACUUGCUUUUGGAACUGUGAAAGAAGCAGGCAUUCUAUAAUCUACCUGAUGAAUAUGUAUGAGUAAGGUGAGCCCUAACCAAAAUGCUGCUAUGGUCACUUUUCCCUUAACAUCUCCUUUUCAAUUGCUUUUCUCCAGCAUUGUCAGCAUCAUUACUUAUGCUCUCUGGGUUUGGGGCUCCUCAUCUAUUAAGUGAAGAACAUGUAGUAAAUGGUCUCCAAGUUGCUUUCAGCUCAAAUAGGACCUUAAUUCAUACUAAAGUAGUAGAGGCUGACAAGGGCUUGUCAUGCCUCCCACUCUCAGCCCUGGGGAGUUUUUAUUUAACAAGAACCUUAAAGCUUUGGUAUCUUUCCCCAAAAUAAUAAAUGUUAUUAAAGUACCCCACAAAUUAUACCUCUCCCCAGC
RNAcentral lists this long non-coding RNA (1018 nucleotides) under Equus caballus (horse). RNAcentral's name for it is "lncRNA (ENSECAG00000057750.1)". The record is from RNAcentral. Lineage: Eukaryota; Metazoa; Chordata; Mammalia; Perissodactyla; Equidae.